CCGCUGUCAGCCUCGGCGUGCGUAAGAACCCCAACCCCUCAACGCAGCCCUGGGAAAGGUUUUGCACUCUUUGUGCGCAGGCAUCAUUUUGAGAACUGUGGACGUGAGUUUUGUGGAAAGUGUACCAGUGGCAGAAUUGCACUAACGACUGAAGAAAAUGCUCCUCAAGUUCCUGUCUGUGAUGAGUGCAUGGAAGAUGUGUCUCAAAGGUUGAUUGAGA
Long non-coding RNA from Argentina anserina (silverweed cinquefoil), 220 nucleotides. RefSeq lists it as uncharacterized. The record is from RefSeq and is a predicted model, not a curated record. The transcript has 3 exons. Lineage: Eukaryota; Viridiplantae; Streptophyta; Magnoliopsida; Rosales; Rosaceae.